AGAAAGUAUUUUUCUUUCAUUACAUUGCAGUACCUCUACCUUGCCUUGCCCUUGCCAAGAAAUAAAGCCUUUUCUACUGAUAAUAGAGACCCAGGAUCCACUGGUCUGUGAAGUUUAAAGAUCACUGACUAAGGCCAUGUGAAGUGGUAACAGGGAUUGAGGACACUUGAAUGAAAGCUCAAACACCUCUCCAGAUAAGAAAUACAUCUGAGAAUCGAUUUCACCUUAAGACUUGAUUGACAUUCAAGACAAUAGAAUAAUUCACUGAAUGGCCUUUAGAGGGAAGCAGAUCCAAAGGAUCCACGGAGAGAUCAAAAGCAAGCUUUUUGUGAAAACUGGCUGCCCGAUCUUGUUAAGCAAAAGCUGAACCUGAGACACUUGGCUCGUUCUCUGUCUGUGUGUAGUACUGGGUGAGAUUUGAACACCCCUCACAUGAUUCCAGUCUGAAACGUCUCGUACAGCGAAGGACACCAGGGUUAUUUUGUCUUAAUCUGCUCAUGUCAGGAGACCUUGCUGCUUUGUUUCCUGGGGGAUUCUUCCUUUAGCCUUCAAAAGCUACCUUGAAAAUAGGAGUUGGGCAUGAAGGAGAAUCAUAGGAGCAUCUGUGACACUAUGUAAGUGGUAGUCAGCAAGUUUGGAAAGAGAUACCUUCCUGUCUGAUCCUAAAAGCUAUGAGUUGAAGUAAAUAUGUGACCUGACGCUUCCUGACUUCUGUCUGCUUUCUUGUGAGGAAUCAGGCAAAAAUGUUGUCUGAGAAAUACCUACAUAUGGGCACAGAGCCAAAAUCUCAGAGGGUGAUUUCCAAAUACUACAUAUUUGAAGGGCUGUAGUAUGUGUGACCUUGUAAUUCCACCUGUUGGAAUUACAUUCUUUUUACAUUAAAAAGUGUUUUAAAGACAGAAAAUUAUUUUAAAGAUCUUUGGAGAUCAGAAAUGUCAGCAAAUUCUCAAUGGGUAAAGUUCUCUGCCCCUGAUAUACUCUAUGUCUUGGGGGCAUGCUGACGGGGCAGGAAUUACUCAGUGGGCAACUUGCCAAGGCAGCUCGCCUGUGUGCUGCACUUCUGGCUCUUGUUUUAUGAGGACAAGGCAGAUGUCCUAUAUAUAGCCUGGAAUGAGAUAAUGAGUCUGAAGCAGCCUUAAAGAAGUUAAUGCAAUUUUCAGUAAUGCAUACUUCUCUAUAAAGAAGGCGUAAGCAAUGAGCUCAGGCACUGAACCUUGGUUGCCUGUUGUAAAAUUUUAUGGCUGUUUGAGACCAGUUGUCUCUCCCCACAUAGAUCUGCUCCGGAGUGUGCCCUGAGCAAUCCUGAUCACCAGACUGCCCUGCUCUACUUUGUGCCACAGAUGGAGCCUUCACAGAUUUGUGGAGGAUUUUUAAAUGGCAGAAGCACAGACAAAGACAAACAGGACCACCAAACUUUUAAAAAUACCUCCAAAAUGGCAAGCGUCAAUUAUUGGAUUUUCUUUUAACAGGUACUGAAAUUAACCACUUGUAAGUACCUUUAAAACAAUGAAGAGACAUGUAACAGUACAGAUUAGCUAUAUCAAAUCCAUCUAAUUUCUUUCCUAAAAGGUUAGAAGGACACUGGGGUAGGAAGGUGUACUUUAUUGUCGUAUAACUUGAGUUUUCAGUAAAAACAAUAUGAGGUUUGCUGGAAACACCCUAAGGCAGGAUGCCAAAUACUCACUGAAUCAUCAGUACCUUCAUGGCCAUGGUGCCCUCAGAGGGAUCUGCAGGGAUUUGCGCUGAACCUGCUGCUUUUCAUCUUUCAUUAGCACAAUAAGCAAAUAGGAAUGCUGUUAUUACUGGCAGAGCUACAGCAUAUGCCACUGAAACUAUGUGAAUGUAAAUUAAACUGUUGCAAAUUCUGUCACAUUAUGUAUAAGAUGAUUUUUAGACUUGCACCUAGCUCCAUGGCAGCCCCUGCAUGCCCCUUCUGAGAUCAGGUGCUGCCCCAAACAUGGUGGGUCACAGUGCUCCAAGGAAGGCUCCUCUGGAAUUCCUAGGCAUAUAAAAGGAGGUGCACACCCUUUUAAAUGAGAUGUUAUACUCCAAACUUACAUAAACAGGGUUCAUUAUAUCAGGUUUGGUGUAUACCUUUUCACUGGCAUUGCUGAGGGAAGCUAUAAGCCGAUUAAUGAGUGCUGGGUGUAUGUCUAAACUUUAAUCACAUACAUUAGCAUCCAAGGGUUGUGCAAGACAGCAUUUCAAAUGAGACAUGUAAAGAAACUUUCGGAACAUUUUCCAUGUUAUGGAAACCUUACCAGGUUUGUGUACUCUUACAUGUCUUAGUCAUAAUUGGACAGAAUAUCCUAAUACUAUGAUUUUAGGUUUUUACUAGUGAACUUUUGAGUCUCUAGAAAUAGAAAUAAAUACAUAAACCUCCCCACAGAUAAACAAGGUUCUUAGACAUUUCAGGGACAAAAGGGAUUAUCCACUGUAAAACUACUCAUCUUUCCAAAUAAAGCCCAGUUGAUCAUGCCAGCAUAAACAGCAAGGGGAACAGGAGAAAGAAGAAACACCUGUGCUUGAGUAAAGUGACACUUUCCUCUCCUUUUUCUCUGUAGGUGAGAAAAGUUUUACUUCCUGUGUGGAUAGUAAUUUGUGGAUCCCCCAAAUCAAAGUUUCAGGAAUGUUUAUCCUAGAGGACCACAUCAAACUUAUUAAUCCUGCCAGCAGGCCAAUUCUUGAUGUAUUUACAUAAAGUUCUUCCCCUAAUAGUUGUUUCUUGGACCUUGUUUCUGUUGUAACUGGCUAUAAAAGAGCUUCUGUCAUACACAUAUAAUGGAUGAUGAUAGAAGUUGAAAAUUGGACUUGAUGAUCAUGGAGUACUUUUCCAACCUCAAUAAUUCUGUGACUCUAUAAAUCAAUUAUUAGUAGAAAGGCAACAUACAAACUCAAAGAAAUAAUCUGUUUCU
Long non-coding RNA from Prinia subflava (tawny-flanked prinia), 2915 nucleotides. RefSeq lists it as uncharacterized. Lineage: Eukaryota; Metazoa; Chordata; Aves; Passeriformes; Cisticolidae. The transcript is spliced from 3 exons. The record is from RefSeq and is a predicted model, not a curated record.